RNAcentral lists this ribosomal RNA (423 nucleotides) under uncultured bacterium. RNAcentral's name for it is "bacterial SSU rRNA". It matches the Rfam family "Bacterial small subunit ribosomal RNA", at positions 207 to 622 of the family's 1533-position model. The record is from RNAcentral.
AAGACCUUGCGCUUUUGGAGCGGCCGAUGUCUGAUUAGCUAGUUGGUAGGGUAAUGGCCUACCAAAGCUUCGAUCAGUAGCUGGUCUGAGAGGACGACCAGCCACACUGGGACUGAGACACGGCCCAGACUCCUACGGGAGGCAGCAGUGGGGAAUUUUGGACAAUGGGCGCAAGCCUGAUCCAGCCAUGCCGCGUGAGUGAAGAAGGCCUUCGGGUUGUAAAGCUCUUUCAGCCGGGAAGAAAAGGCUACGACGAAUAAUCGUAGCUCAUGACGGUACCGGAAGAAGAAGCACCGGCUAACUACGUGCCAGCAGCCGCGGUAAUACGUAGGGUGCGAGCGUUAAUCGGAAUUACUGGGCGUAAAGGGUGCGUAGGCGGUUUUGUAAGUCAGAUGUGAAAUCCCCGGGCUUAACCUGGGAACU